AGGUGAACCUGCGGAAGGAUCAUUACCGUGGGGCUUCGGCCCCAUUGAGAUAGCACCCUUUGUUUAUGAGUACCCUUGUUUCCUCGGCGGGCUUGCCCGCCAUGAGGACAUUAAAAACCCUUUGUAGUAGCAGUAACUUCAGUUAAUAAUAAAUAUUAAAACUUUCAACAACGGAUCUCUUGGUUCUGGCAUCGAUGAAGAACGCAGCGAAAUGCGAUAAGUAGUGUGAAUUGCAGAAUUCAGUGAAUCAUCGAAUCUUUGAACGCACAUUGCGCCCUUCGGUAUUCCGUUGGGCAUGCCUGUUCGAGCGUCAUUUAAACCUUCAAGCUUUGCUUGGUGUUGGGUGUUUGUUCCGCCUCAGUGCGUGGACUCGCCUCAAAUUCAUUGGCAGCCGGUAUGUUGGCUUCGUGCGCAGCACAUUGCAAGCGAUUUCAGCAGACCCCCUUCCACAAGCCUUUUUUUACUUUGACCUCGGAUCAGGUAG
RNAcentral lists this ribosomal RNA (484 nucleotides) under Herpotrichia sp. H25. RNAcentral's name for it is "eukaryotic LSU rRNA". The stretch from base 160 to 313 matches the Rfam family "5.8S ribosomal RNA". Lineage: Eukaryota; Fungi; Ascomycota; Dothideomycetes; Pleosporales; Melanommataceae. The record is from RNAcentral.